RNAcentral lists this transfer RNA (360 nucleotides) under uncultured Microcystis sp. RNAcentral's name for it is "partial 16S-23S ribosomal RNA intergenic spacer". The stretch from base 134 to 207 matches the Rfam family "tRNA". Lineage: Bacteria; Bacillati; Cyanobacteriota; Cyanophyceae; Chroococcales; Microcystaceae. The record is from RNAcentral.
AAAGGGAGACCUAAUUCGGGUAUAAGACGAAAAAAAAGUAGUCCCUACCAAGAAUCAAUCCCAAAAGGUCGGAACGAGGUAUGAGGCUUUCAAACUAGGUUCUGGGUUCAUAAAAGACCUGAAUCGGGAACAAGGGCUAUUAGCUCAGGUGGUUAGAGCGCACCCCUGAUAAGGGUGAGGUCCCUGGUUCGAGUCCAGGAUGGCCCACCUGCACAGGUGGCAAAAACAAGAGAAGCGAGGAAUCAGCACCUUAUCUUGUAUACAUAUAUAAGAGAGAAUGCUGGCUCUGAGUACAGAGUCCAGAGGAACCUUGAAAACUGCAUAGAGCUAGGUGAAAAAGCCAAAAAAGAAGACCGCAAG